Molecule: ribosomal RNA, 485 nt
Filed under: uncultured bacterium
Lineage: Bacteria
Description: partial 16S ribosomal RNA
Rfam family: Bacterial small subunit ribosomal RNA
Source: RNAcentral
AUUGAACGCUGGCGGCAUGCCUUACACAUGCAAGUCGAACGGCAGCACGGGUGCUUGCACCUGGUGGCGAGUGGCGAACGGGUGAGUAAUACAUCGGAACAUGUCCUGUAGUGGGGGAUAGCCCGGCGAAAGCCGGAUUAAUACCGCAUACGAUCUACGGAUGAAAGCGGGGGACCUUCGGGCCUCGCGCUAUAGGGUUGGCCGAUGGCUGAUUAGCUAGUUGGUGGGUAAAGGCCUACCAAGGCGACGAUCAGUAGCUGGUCUGAGAGGACGACCAGCCACACUGGGACUGAGACACGGCCCAGACUCCUACGGGAGGCAGCAGUGGGGAAUUUUGGACAAUGGGCGAAAGCCUGAUCCAGCAAUGCCGCGUGUGUGAAGAAGGCCUUCGGGUUGUAAAGCACUUUUGUCCGGAAAGAAAUCCUUGGCUCUAAUACAGUCGGGGGAUGACGGUACCGGAAGAAUAAGCACCGGCUAACUACGUG